UCUAGAACUCGAGAUAUGGGCUGAACAUUGAACAAUGUCUGGGUUGCAGAACAGAUUCUGACUUCUCCGUUGUUGCUACAAUUUGAACUUGAAAACGGUCCUUUUGAAUCUUGGACUCCUCAUGAAAUUUUUAGGCCUAUGUUGUAGCUUUCCAUC
This is a non-coding RNA of Populus trichocarpa (black cottonwood), 156 nucleotides long. The record is from Rfam. NCBI's taxonomy places the organism in Eukaryota, Viridiplantae, Streptophyta, Magnoliopsida, Malpighiales, Salicaceae.